This 205-nucleotide ribosomal RNA is filed under the name uncultured bacterium. Its description in RNAcentral is "partial 16S ribosomal RNA". It matches the Rfam family "Bacterial small subunit ribosomal RNA", at positions 568 to 774 of the family's 1533-position model. The record is from RNAcentral.
CGCGUAGGUGGCCUUCUUAGUCAGACGUGAAAUCCCCAGCUUAACCUGGGAACUGCGUCUGAUACUGGAAGGCUCGAGUUCGGGAGAGGAAUGUGGAAUUCCAGGUGUAGCGGUGAAAUGCGUAGAUAUCUGGAGGAACACCGGUGGCGAAGGCGGCAUUCUGGACCGAAACUGACGCUGAGGCGCGAAAGCCAGGGAGCAAACG